Molecule: ribosomal RNA, 466 nt
Filed under: uncultured bacterium
Lineage: Bacteria
Description: partial 16S ribosomal RNA
Rfam family: Bacterial small subunit ribosomal RNA
Source: RNAcentral
GAUGAACGCUGGCGGCGUGCUUAACACAUGCAAGUCGAACGGAAAGGCUCCUGCUUGCAGGGGUACUCGAGUGGCGAACGGGUGAGUAACACGUGGGUGAUCUGCCCUGCACUUCGGGAUAAGCCUGGGAAACUGGGUCUAAUACCGGAUAGGACGAUGGUUUGGAUGCCAUUGUGGAAAGUUUUUUCGGUGUGGGAUGAGCUCGCGGCCUAUCAGCUUGUUGGUGGGGUAAUGGCCUACCAAGGCGUCGACGGGUAGCCGGCCUGAGAGGAUGUACGGCCACAUUGGGACUGAGAUACGGCCCAGACUCCUACGGGAGGCAGCAGUGGGGAAUAUUGCACAAUGGGCGCAAGCCUGAUGCAGCGACGCCGCGUGGGGGAUGACGGCCUUCGGGUUGUAAACUCCUUUCGCUAGGGACGAAGCGCAAGUGACGGUACCUGGAGAAGAAGCACCGGCUAACUACGUG